UGCUGGGUGAAUUUAGAUGCUUGGUAAGCACUGCCCGGUGCCCGAUGGGGUAAACGGUGGUCUUUUAGGUUUUAAUGUAGCGUAAUACCUCGCCCUUUAAUUGUGGGCUUGCAUGAAGUGUUUACGAGGGGAUUACUGUCUCUUUCUAAUAUUGAUAAAUUGAAUUGCAGGUGCAAUUGCCUGUGUAGGGGUAAAAGACGAUAAGACCCCGUGCAGCUUUAUACUAUUGGUUAUGGAUGAUUGAAAUGUUAUUUGGUUGGGGCAACAGGGGAAUAAGAAAAACUUCCUUGGGUAUGCGGGUACAUUAUUAGGUAGAAUGGUUUUGCGGUAUACUUAAAUAGUAGCUUAGGAAAACUGGCGGGUGACGAUCUGAUUUGAUAGAUAAGCGGAGAAGUUACGCCGGGGAUAACAGCGCUAUCUUCAAUUGGAGUACUUAUCUGAUUGUGGGCUUGCGACCUCGAUGUUGAAUUAGCGUGAACCUAUGGGUGAAGAGGCUCAUGGGAAGGACUGUUCGUCCUCUAAGACGCUA
RNAcentral lists this ribosomal RNA (529 nucleotides) under Pteria avicular. RNAcentral's name for it is "partial 16S ribosomal RNA". It matches the Rfam family "Bacterial large subunit ribosomal RNA", at positions 1824 to 2598 of the family's 2925-position model. Lineage: Eukaryota; Metazoa; Mollusca; Bivalvia; Pterioida; Pteriidae. The record is from RNAcentral.